This 159-nucleotide ribosomal RNA is filed under the name uncultured bacterium. RNAcentral's name for it is "partial 16S rRNA". It matches the Rfam family "Bacterial small subunit ribosomal RNA", at positions 358 to 511 of the family's 1533-position model. The record is from RNAcentral.
GGAAUCUUCCACAAUGGGCGAAAGCCUGAUGGAGCAACGCCGCGUGUGAUGAAGGGUUUCGGCUCGUAAAACACUGUUGUAAGAGAAGAAUGACAUUGAGAGUAACUGUUCAAUGUGUGACGGUAUCUUACCAGAAAGGAACGGCUAAAUACGUGCCAG